RNAcentral lists this ribosomal RNA (834 nucleotides) under uncultured marine bacterium. RNAcentral describes it as "bacterial SSU rRNA". It matches the Rfam family "Bacterial small subunit ribosomal RNA", at positions 59 to 883 of the family's 1533-position model. The record is from RNAcentral.
AAGUCGAGGGGCAGCAUAAAUUACUUGUAAUUUGAUGGCGACCGGCGAACGGGUGCGUAACGCGUAUGCAACUUACCUUUUACUAGAGAAUAGCCAAGAGAAAUUUUGAUUAAUGCUCUAUACUCUUAAUAACUCACAUGAGUUUAUAAGAAAAGCUCCGGCGGUAAAAGAUGGGCAUGCGUCCUAUUAGCUUGUAGGUGAGGUAACGGCUCACUUAAGCUCCGAUAGGUAGGGGUCCUGAGAGGGAGAUCCCCCACACUGGUACUGAGACACGGACCAGACUUCUACGGAAGGCAGCAGUAAGGAAUAUUGGACAAUGGAGGAAACUCUGAUCCAGCCAUGCCGCGUGAAGGAAGACGGCCUUAUGGGUUGUAAACUUCUUUUAUACAGGAAGAAACCUUUCCACGUGUGGAAAGUUGACGGUACUGUAAGAAUAAGGAUCGGCUAACUCCGUGCCAGCAGCCGCGGUAAUACGGAGGAUCCAAGCGUUAUCCGGAAUUAUUGGGUUUAAAGGGUCCGCAGGCUGUUUGUUAAGUCAGAGGUGAAAUCCUACCGCUCAACGGUAGAACUGCCUUUGAUACUGGCAAACUUGAGUUAUUGUGAAGUAGUUAGAAUGUGUAGUGUAGCGGUGAAAUGCAUAGAUAUUACACAGAAUACCGAUUGCGAAAGCAGAUUACUAACAAUUAACUGACGCUGAGGGACGAAAGCGUGGGUAGCGAACAGGAUUAGAUACCCUGGUAGUCCACGCCGUAAACGAUGGUCACUAGCUGUUCGAUGUACAUUGGUACAUUGAGUGGCUAAGCGAAAGUGAUAAGUGACCCACCUGGGGAGUAC